AUAUUGGUAGUUUAAAAACAAAACAAUAAACUUCGAACUUAAUGAUAUAGGAACCCCUAUCCAAUACA
RNAcentral lists this transfer RNA (68 nucleotides) under Sympagella nux. RNAcentral's name for it is "tRNA-Arg". It matches the Rfam family "tRNA". From Rfam's summary of the family: Transfer RNA (tRNA) molecules are approximately 80 nucleotides in length. Their secondary structure includes four short double-helical elements and three loops (D, anti-codon, and T loops). The record is from RNAcentral. Lineage: Eukaryota; Metazoa; Porifera; Hexactinellida; Lyssacinosida; Rossellidae.